This 74-nucleotide transfer RNA is filed under the name Brockia lithotrophica. It matches the Rfam family "tRNA". From Rfam's summary of the family: Transfer RNA (tRNA) molecules are approximately 80 nucleotides in length. RNAcentral also lists the same sequence under 5 other names. Lineage: Bacteria; Bacillati; Bacillota; Bacilli; Thermicanales; Thermicanaceae. The record is from Rfam by way of RNAcentral.
GCGCCCGUAGCUCAAUUGGAUAGAGCAUCUGACUACGGAUCAGAAGGUUGGGGGUUCGAGUCCCUCCGGGCGCG